UGGAUGGGCCUUAAGCCAUCAUUUAAUGCAGAAUCUAGAAGCCGAUCCUGAUUCUAGAGUUCUUUUGUCUAGUGAGAGCAUUCAAUACGGGAUAAGCAUCUUACAGGCUAUCCAGAAUGAAUCUAAGUGCUUGAAGAAGUCACUUAAGGAUGUUGUCACGGAGAAUGAAUUUGAGAAAAGGCUUUUAGCAGACGUUAUCCCACCCAGUGAUA
Molecule: unclassified non-coding RNA, 212 nt
Filed under: Hevea brasiliensis (rubber tree)
Lineage: Eukaryota; Viridiplantae; Streptophyta; Magnoliopsida; Malpighiales; Euphorbiaceae
Source: RNAcentral